This 446-nucleotide ribosomal RNA is filed under the name uncultured bacterium. RNAcentral describes it as "bacterial SSU rRNA". It matches the Rfam family "Bacterial small subunit ribosomal RNA", at positions 28 to 434 of the family's 1533-position model. The record is from RNAcentral.
GACGAACGCUGGCGGCGUGCCUAAUACAUGCAAGUCGAACGCACUCUCGUUUAGAUUGAAGGAGCUUGCUCCUGAUUGAUAAACAUUUGAGUGAGUGGCGGACGGGUGAGUAACACGUGGGUAACCUGCCCUAAAGUGGGGGAUAACAUUUGGAAACAGAUGCUAAUACCGCAUAAAACCUAAACACCGCAUGGUGUAGGGUUGAAAGAUGGUUUCGGCUAUCACUUUAGGAUGGACCCGCGGUGCCAUUAGUUAGUUGGUGAGGUAAAGGCUCACCAAGACCGUGAUGCAUAGCCGACCUGAGAGGGUAAUCGGCCACACUGGGACUGAGACACGGCCCAGACUCCUACGGGAGGCAGCAGUAGGGAAUCUUUCCCAACAAUGGACGAAAGUCUGAUGGAGCAACGCCGCGUGAGUCGAAGAAGGUUUUCGGAUCGUAAAACUCU